This 1684-nucleotide unclassified non-coding RNA is filed under the name Octopus sinensis (East Asian common octopus). RNAcentral describes it as "protein phosphatase 1 regulatory subunit 7, transcript variant X1". The record is from RNAcentral. Lineage: Eukaryota; Metazoa; Mollusca; Cephalopoda; Octopoda; Octopodidae.
GAUUCAAAAGUACGGCUGAUGAAUGUCAAUGGCGCUAGCUUUCAUGACGGAUGUGACGUCACAGUGUACUAAGGUCUGUUGGAAGUGAAUCGUUUGUCGUCCCGUUAUUGACCCUCACCAUUGAAUACAUAACCACAUACAUCAACAAUACUAGGUAAGAUGGAAUCAAAAGCGGUCGUUGCCGAGGCCCCCAACCAAAACCUCAUGGAUGAAGAUGAUUUUGAGUCCCAAUCAUCAGCUAAAGAAGAAGAUGAUGACGAACAGUCAAAGGAAGUGGUCAUUGUUGACCCAACAGCUUUGGAUGUUGACUUAAGUCAUUGCAAGAUUGGUAAGAUUGAACAGAUGGAGAAACUUACCAAUGUUACGAGUUUGUGUCUACGACAGAAUUUGAUCAAGUGUAUUGAAGGUUUAUCGACUUUGGUCCAUUUAAAUAUGUUGGAUCUGUAUGACAACCAAAUAACAAAAAUAGAAAAUUUAACAGAGCUGACUAAUUUAACUCAACUAGAUUUCUCUUUUAACCGGAUCAAGAAAAUAGAAAAUAUUUCUCAUUUGACUAACUUGGUCAAGUUAUAUUUAGUGAAUAACAAAAUAACCGUCAUCGAGAACCUUGAAACACUCGUUAACCUGGAUAUGCUGGAAUUGGGUUCCAAUAAGAUUCGGGUCAUCGAGAAUUUAAACACCCAUACCAAUAUAACUGGCUUAUACCUGGGCAAGAAUAAAAUUACUCAGAUUUCUGGUUUAGAUAACCUUGUCAACUUGACAUGUCUCAGUCUGCAGGACAACCGCUUGACUAAAAUUGAAGGUCUGGAUGCCUUGGUGAACUUAGAUGAACUCUACCUGAGUGACAACGGCAUUGAAAAGAUUGAAGGGUUGUCAAAUAAUACCCAGUUAACAGUCCUUGAUCUUGCCUGUAACAAAAUACAGAGAAUAGAAAAUGUCUGCCAUUUAGUCAAUCUUGGUGAUUUUUGGUUUAACAACAACCAGCUUUCUAACUGGGAUGACCUGAAGGAGUUGGCCUGCUUAGCAGAACUACGGACCGUCUACCUCGAGCACAACACAAUUUGGUACGAACCUAGUGAGAAGAACUGCCAAGAUCCAGCCUAUCGACGGAAAGUCAAAUUAAUGUUGCCACAGGUAACACAAAUUGAUGCCACAUAUUGUCGUUAGAGGGAGCCACUUAUUUCCCUCCCUUGAUUUAAACUUCCUGUUACUAGUUUUUUUUUUUGUUCCUUUGUUUGGGUAUUUUUCUUCUUGUCUUCAUUUUUAAUCUUUACAUAUGUACAAAGUUCCAACAUGUUUUUCUUUUUAUUGUGUAUGUGUCUGUGUCAGUUUAGUAGUAACUGUUAUUACCUCUUCUGUGACCAUGGUUUCAUGCUGGUAAUGAGAUUUUUCGACACAGCAGCAAUCUUCAGUGGACUUGGCUGAAAAAGCUUUAGAUAAGCUGCUAGUUUGUAGCUUCCUGAACCAAAUCUGUAUUGCUGAAGGCCACGGCAUCCCAGAUACAUGGAUUCCAAUGUAAAACCAUGCCACUGUAGCAACAGACGCACAUGUCGACAUUCUCUACCAGACUCCGUGUGUGUGUGUAUGUGUGUGCAUUUAUAUGAAAAAUAGGCAUAUUUAAUGAAGCUAUUCUAUGUUUGGGUGUCUAUUUAUCUGUGUGUGUGUGUGUAUGCACACACACACA